RNAcentral lists this ribosomal RNA (528 nucleotides) under uncultured Vibrionaceae bacterium. RNAcentral's name for it is "bacterial SSU rRNA". It matches the Rfam family "Bacterial small subunit ribosomal RNA", at positions 870 to 1398 of the family's 1533-position model. The record is from RNAcentral. Lineage: Bacteria; Pseudomonadati; Pseudomonadota; Gammaproteobacteria; Vibrionales; Vibrionaceae.
CGCCUGGGGAGUACGGUCGCAAGAUUAAAACUCAAAUGAAUUGACGGGGGCCCGCACAAGCGGUGGAGCAUGUGGUUUAAUUCGAUGCAACGCGAAGAACCUUACCUACUCUUGACAUCCAGAGAACCUUUUAGAGAUAAAAGGGUGCCUUCGGGAACUCUGAGACAGGUGCUGCAUGGCUGUCGUCAGCUCGUGUUGUGAAAUGUUGGGUUAAGUCCCGCAACGAGCGCAACCCUUAUCCUUGUUUGCCAGCACUUCGGGUGGGAACUCCAGGGAGACUGCCGGUGAUAAACCGGAGGAAGGUGGGGACGACGUCAAGUCAUCAUGGCCCUUACGAGUAGGGCUGCACACGUGCUACAAUGGCAUAUACAGAGGGCUGCCAACUCGCGAGAGUGAGCGAAUCCCAUAAAGUAUGUCGUAGUCCGGAUUGGAGUCUGCAACUCGACUCCAUGAAGUCGGAAUCGCUAGUAAUCGUGGAUCAGAAUGCCACGGUGAAUACGUUCCCGGGCCUUGAACACACCGCCCGUC